Molecule: long non-coding RNA, 7685 nt
Filed under: Aquilegia coerulea
Lineage: Eukaryota; Viridiplantae; Streptophyta; Magnoliopsida; Ranunculales; Ranunculaceae
Description: long non-coding RNA (ACOE_LNC001875)
Source: RNAcentral
UGAGAAUGGUUUAGUUUCUUGGUUUUUCAGUCUUGGAGUUGUUUUUUAUAUAUGGUCGAAUGAGAUAAAGUAGGAUGUACUUGGUUUUGUUCAGAGAGGGGCUCAAAAUAGCUGCUUAUCGCAGAUUACUGUUGUAUAUUUCAACCUCGUUGAAACAAUAAAUUGAAAUCCACCUCUGGUUUAUUUUGUAUGCCAUUUUUGCAUAUAAGAUGGUAUUAACACUACCAAUACUUAUACAUAAAUUGAAUGUGACUUUAAUAAAAAAGAAUAUGAUGAUCAGCGGGCUUAUGUAAGAAGCAACAUUAUGAACUGCCUCAACACCAUGCAUGGGGUCAUUGUAUUUUUAGGAUUAAUAGUGACUUGCCUUCCAUGCCUUGUAGGCAAUGUCUGUGUCUGGGGAAUAGUCGAUGAAAAGCAAAAUCAGUACGAAUUAUCAAAAACUGUAUGAAGCCAUUAUAAACAUUAGAAUUAUGUGCCCCAGAAAAAAAAAAAAAAACAAAAACUACUAGCAAAAACUAAAAUAGAAAAUUCACUUCCCAAAUAAGACGAUCAUUUGCAUUUCAGCUCCUUCAUUGAAUGAGUUAGUUAGUAUAUUGACCGAACAAUGAAAAUGAAAAUCGUUCUUUCCCAUGGCAAGCUCUCUUGAAUCUUAAUUCUAGCUCUCGCCUCUCAUCCUCCACGGACGAUUUCCUAGCAAUCAACCCAUCAAUCUCUCUUAUUUUUGUAGCUAACUGUGCCUCCAACUCACCACACACAGUCUCAUGUGCCUCAAACUCUGAACGGAUCUGUGCACAGCUAUCACGAAACCAGGCAACUUUUAAACCUGUUAACUCAUAAAUUUGAGCCCUAGUCUCCCAACCAGUGAAUAACUCCUGAUUCACACUACUUGGAGUUGCAGCUAGCAACAUCUCAACAUCACUCAACAAACCAGCUAAAAGAGAAGGUAGAAUAUCCCCAACACUAGACAACUUGCCAUUCUGCUUUGGCAUAAACUCACCAAAUUUCCGAACCAACUGCAGAUACAAGCUUUUGUGACUCAAUGGUACCUGCACACCACCUACAGAAAUGAACCUGGCUACCUGCAGCGUUGGCUUAUUCAUAAGCGGGAGCUGGAUACCCUCUGCAUCUGGUGCAGGACGCUUUGAAUCCUUGUAUUGGGCAGCUCUCUCCACAAUGUUUUCCAGUAUUAUAUUUGUCAUUAUAUCCGUAUGCCCCAUCUGUGUGUUACUCCUUCUGGCACCUAUAUCUGGAGUCUCAAAGCUCUCUUCAUCACUCUCAUGCUCACAUUGAGUUUCAACAGAAUUGUCGCCUGUCUCUGCUCCACGUAACACACUAUCUUGAAAUAUUCUAGUAACAGAUUUUGCUGGAUCUAACAAGUCUCCACUCAUCCCAAUUGCUCCCUCAUGUGAAGUAAAUCCAUCACAUCUACCCAUUAUAUCCAUAUCCCCAUCACUUUCACUGUCAGCAUUCUUCCCCAAGGCUUUCUUCAUAACAUCAAAAUCCUGUUCUGGUACUUGCAUGACAUCCCUCUCACUCCUCUCGCUCUCACUAGACAAUCGGACCACCUUGCUACGCAUUCUCUGGCGUAGGCUUGUGCUGUUAAUCUCCACAUCGUGAUCAUCAUCAUCCUCAUCCAUGUCCUUGGAAUCCCAAGGAGGUGUUAAUGCCUGCACCCCCUUAGGGUCCAUUUUCCCACAUGACAUAACAAAAUUCAAUGAUCCACGACUCUCUUCACUUUCACUAGACAAUUGAAACACUUUACCAUACAUUCUGUUGCACCUUCUAUGUUCAGACACUAUUCUCUUCUUUGAGUCAUUUUUUCCCUUCCCACCACAUUUAACCUCACUCCUUCUGAAUUUUAACGUAGGCCAGUUCUGCAACUCAUCAGUCCUUAUACUCUGAAUUGGUUCAGAAGGCUCCCUCAAAAAUGUAUGCACCUCCUCAACCACUUUUCCCCACCAGUGGUGAGCAUUUGGAUGUACAUAUGAAUGUCGACUAUCUGACAAAAGUGAAACAACAGUCUCAUCUACCCGAACACCAAUGUCAUCAAGUUUAAAGGCGUCCAGGCACUCCUUAGCCGACGCAAGUGAAGGUGGACCCAAUGGCAAACCCCGGUCAAAGCCUAGCUGCAUUGCAAAACGAUCUGGAUAAUAACCUAAGCUACAAAACUUAUUUUUAAUUAACGACACAAUUCCACUUGGUGCCAUGAAUAACAAACACAUCACCUCCACAUCACUCCAUUGCCCUUGUUUCACCCCUGUAGGUACCUUUAUGUAUGGUCUAAAAUCGAUAGAACUCCAAUCAUCCAACACCUCAAGGAGUGGCACAUCCAGUACCCUCACCCCACACCACUGCCAGGCACGACAAUGUUGUGCCUUGACGCAUUGCUUCACAUAUGUGCCAUCAUUGUCUCUUUCCAUCUCUUUUAAAACAGAUCCAAAUCUUCUCGGUUCCGGUGCAUAACAAAUUAAAUGCUCCCAUGCCCACAAUUGGAGGAAUGGUCCACACAUAUAAGUCACAAUGUCAAACUUCCCAUUUGACACGGGCAUGGCUGAAGUCAACUCAUCUAAGCGUGCAUACAUAGUCCCCAAAAACAUCAUUGCCAACGGAAACCUACACCCUUGAGCCAUCUUAACUGCCAUGGGAAAUAAGAAGUCAUGAACCUUCUCAUGUGGGGCAUCUUCAAAAAGGUAUCGAGACAACCACAUGGCAAUCAAAGCCUCUAAGUUAUGGUCAGAAUUCCUCCCUAGACCAUAUUCCCAAUGACCUUUCAUCUGUUUACCCUUCUUAACCAUUUUACCCUUCUCACCGACCUUAUCAUCAUUGGUUACAUAUUCCCCAUAGUAAUGUCGUAUCCACCCUGCAAAACUGGAUUUCUUAGAAAUUCGAUUUUGCGAAGUCCUUGGGUUCUUCCUUGCAAAUUUUAUCCCCUUUUUCAAACCAUGCACCAAAUUCUUUUCGUUGUUGCUCAGAUUGAUCUUAUAUGGUGAAUAGGUACCACAUAUAGGAAGUUCAUACAAAACAACAACAUCCUCCAAAGACACUGAUAGCUCUCCCCAUGCAGCCACGAAAGUGUGUGUGUUGGGAGACCAUCUAGAGCACAAGUCAAGCAGCCCACUGUUGUCUUUGUCUACCUACAGUUGAGUACUCAAACAAAUAGCUCUGUAAAUACCUGCGUUCUUCAAUCUAUCCGGCCUUAACGUACACCCUUCUUGCCUAGUGAAUGCGUGACCCAUUCACUCCAUCCCCUCGAAACCUUGGAAUGUGACCCCCAUUGAACAAAUGAACGAGAGCAAUCACCUCGCAAUUCUCUAAAUGCGAAACACUUAUCAAUUUGUGGAGAAAGAGGCAGUGAUGAAUCUCCAAUUUCAAGAAACCGCCAACAAUGAUCACCAGGGGCUUCUUCAUAUGUUGUUUGUCGAGCCUUGACGACAAAAUCACUAACCCCAUGACCACAAACAAUUUCAUGAUCAUCCCCACAUUGGUUGUCAUCACUAUAAACAUAGUUACGUUUACCUAGAUAGAAAAAUUAUCAAAUUAGAAAAAAAUAUGUUAAAAUAAAUUUACACAUAUAAGAGAUGAAUUCCAAAGAUCACAACCUUCUACAACAUUGUUUGGAUUACACAAACCAACAUUUGCACGGAUUAAUUAAAUUUAUUUGUUCUAAAGCUCAUUUCCAUUACUCCCUCCGUCCCAAAUUAUAAGUACCUUUUGGAAUAUUCUACUUAUUAAGGAAAAAUCAUUUAUUGUUUGUUUACUAACUCUAUUUUCUAAUUUACCCCUAUUUAAUACUAAUUACAAUGUCUAACUUUUCAUUAGAAUAAUUACUCUAAUCUCAAAGCAAGGGUAGUAUGGACAAAUGAACCAUUUAACUUAAUUAAUAUGCGUUGAAAAGUCAAAAAUGACAUAUAUUUUGGGACAAUCUAAAUGGAAUAAGGUACUUAUAAUUUGAGACAGAGGGAGUAUAAUUUAUAAAGUAAUACAUUGAUUGAAUGAUUGUGCACAUAAGCUUAACAUAAAUACAUAACAAUUUGAUGAUCACAUUUUACCUCUAGGAAUUUUUUUUUCCAAGAUGGAUGGCUUCAUCUUCUCGAUCACCAAUACCUUUACCCAUGUUCUUCUAAUCUUAUGAGAAGAAGAGAUUACUGUAGCUACACUUCUUCUAAACUUGCAAGAGAAGUUUUUUUAAGGUUUUUCAGAACUACAAUAGAGGAAAAAAUCAUUGUGGCUACAGUACUACUGUACUAGUUCACCAAAAGAAAUACAGUACCUUUUCUGGAGUCAAAGAAAUAUGCAAGACUUUUCGUUGGAUCAUAUUACAGGUAAAGGCCCACGCCCACGCUAAGGUCCACGAACAUCAAAGCCUGACUGCAGGGCAAAGCGAGGAACAAUAAACCAACAACAACAAAAGAAAAAAAAAUAAAUAAAUAAAGGGCUGCGCGCUUGUCCUCUAGUUCUGUGUAAUUUUUCUUUUAUCAAUAAAAAAUUUUACAAAAAAAAAAAUAUGUAUUUAGAAAAGUCGGGUUUGCUAUCCAGAAAGGACUUGUCGCGUAGUUUGUAGCGCGUUUGUCCUCUACUUUUGUGUAAUUCGUUGAGCUUAUCAAUAAAAAUAAAUAAAUAAAUAAAUAAAUAAAUAAUUUAUGUAUAAACAUUAAAACAAUAAAUGUGGAAUAAUAUGUUUGUUUGUUGGGAAUCUCUCUUGUCCAAAGAUUAACAACCGGUAAGAAUUUUGGUUUAUAGAAUCAAGAGUUUGGUAAUUAUAUAUAACUAGAAAGUUGAAAGUAGUAGUAGCAAAACUAGAUGUUGUUAAGUGAGAGUGGAGAUUGUUUCGACAACCAAUUAAACUCUAAAAAUAGCCAAGUUUGGUUUUGCAGUUUAAAAACACUUUUUUUUCUUGUGUGUAUAAACAGACCUCUUCAACUAAAAACUGUAUGUCGUACAUGUACUCAAAAAUAUAUAUGAAUGAAGAUGAAUACCAGCAGAUCGCCAAAAGACGAGGAAUCAACCAUGCCUGCAAGGGGAAACAAUUAUAGAGAAAUACACCUUCAAACAAAGUCCCAUAAUGACAACCACCCCGAUUAUAACAAACUUUACUACGAUCCUGAACGUGCAACCGGUGGUCGCCUUGUGCUCAUUGUUAUAUUAUCCCUUCUUGUCAUCGCUAGUGUACUCACUUCCAUUGCUACCGUCUAUUUUGCCCCUAAACCUCCCAUAAUUUUUCUCAAAACAGCUUUGGCUUCUGGCUUUGAAUUCCCCUCUUCUCCAUAUAAUGGCACUUUGAAUGUUACCGCUUUGUUUAAAAACCCCAACAGUGGUACGUCUAUCCUAUAUGAGCCCACAGACAUUUUCUUGAGGUAUGUAAAUGGACAUCAAGAUCUCGCUAAUAAAACAAUUGCCGGUUUCGAACAGAAUAAAAAAAAUUCGACUUUAAUUCAAGCAGAGUUUGUGAUUUCAACUGGUGAGGAUGAUAGAAUUGCACAAGAUCAUAAGCUUGGGUUUGCGCAUUUCCAACUUCUAUUUCAUUUUCAUUUAUAUUAUAAAUCUGGUCUACAUACGUCAAGAAAGAGUUUCCGUGUAGGUGGCUGCAGUAAUGUAGUGAUUGAUUUCAAUUCAACAGUUGGUACUUUGUUUGGGGAAGAUGCAGGAUGUCAUGUUAAUAAUGGUGCGAUCCUUGCUUAGAUGGAAGAUACCUGAAUCAAAAAAUUAACUUUUUAAUUUUGUAAUUUAACAUCAAUGCAUUUGCGUGCUUUUUAAGCGUUAAUGUUCAGAGCAUUUUCUUUGUGGCUUAAUUAAUUUCACCUUGAUGGCUUCACAUAUGUAUCUUACAAAAUUUUGUAAAUAACUUUACAAGUGAAAAAAUAAAUGAAUAUCAAUUAGCAAAACUUAAAUUAUAAAUCCUAUAUCAAUAUUCAUAUGACUACAAAAUUGUUAGAUUGAAUAUGAGAUUUUUAGAAAUGGGAAGAAUAAAAGAAAAUCAAAUAACCUAUGAUAUUGAACCAAAACCAUUAUGCAUUUGAUGCGACUGAUACCAAAUGAAAGAAUGAAAUUAUACUUAAUGAAAAAACUAAAUAAACUUAGAUAAAUCAAAUAUGUACGGGAUCGAAUAUGCAUAAGGUAUUGGUCACAAAAUAAAAUAAUGUAAAAAUAUACAAAAUAUACAUACUUUUAUAUCUUCUACAUUCAAUAAAACCAUAGCUUAACUUCUCUCAAUUUCUCCUUAAAUCUACUUAGGUGAUGGUCCCUAUAAUUGUAGAUAUUGAGUAUUGAGGGGAGCUAUGGAGUCAUCUACUUAUAUAGUCUUCCAUCAAGACCUUUGUGUUCUUCACAAUAAUGAACAUUACUAAUAAUGGAGAUUAAUAAUACAUAAUUUAUAUUAGAAUCCGAAAAACCAAAAGACUUAUCAAUUAAAUUGGACUUAAACAAAUGGUUAUUGGCACACAAUUCUAACAUAGAUUGCAUGGUCUAAAAUCAAUAAAAUUUGUGAGACAAAGAAGUUUGGUUUUCUUCUUGUUCAACUCUGAAGCAAUCAAUUUCUCCAUGUUUUUAGCUAUAACAGUGGAUGAGAUUCAAUAGAUAUUCUCUCCUCUUGAAUAUGAUCAUUUUCCUUUUCUGGUCAUAUACAUGUCAAUGUUGUUGUAAAUUAAGCAAAUCUAUGCUAUUUUCCAGGCACAAAAUUUGAUGUCCAAACAAUCACUAAUUUCAAUGAUAAUUGCUUAAAAUUAGAUAAUAAUGGUUGAAAGGAAUAUGUAUAUAAGCAAGGCAAUGAGAAGAAAAAUGGUAAGUGGUUUUGAAGAUUUUUUUGUCAUCAUCUUUAAAGCCACUUGCUUGAUAAGUGUUCAUCUUGUCUCUCAUUCCUGCAGCUCAGGUCUAACAAUGGCUUCAUCUACUUUCGGCAGAUGGAUGAAACCUGAGGUAAUUUUAUAUGAACCCCCGUUGUCAAAUCUUAGAAAUCUUAGAUGAACAUAUAUAUAUAUAUAUAUAUAGGUUUACCCACUUCUUGUUCCAAUCUUUGGAGCUGUUGGCAUUUGCGGCAUGCAGUUGUGGCGAAACAUCCACACCAACCCUGAAGUGCGGUAAGCUUGGUGCGCCUCCAAAACAUAGACACAUUUCAUACUGCAAUGUUGAUAACUCUGUAGAAAUUUAUUUUUUACCAUACCUCUAUCGAAAUAUAACCGCACUACUGAAUUUCAUCAGACUUAGAGGUCUUUGACAUUGUUUUGACAAUCUAAACUCGACUUUCUUUCAGGGUCAGCAAAGAAAAAAGAGCUGCAGGGGUGCUUGAUAACUUCGCAGAGGGUGAGAGAUACAAGGAACAUUUUUUCAGGAAAUAUGUCCGAAACCAAUCCACUGAGAUCAUGCCAUCUGUUAACCAAUUCUUCGCAGGGCCAAAACAAAGCAAAGCCUGAGAAUGGUUUAGUUUCUUGGUUUUUCAGUCUUGGAGUUGUUUUUUAUAUAUGGUCGAAUGAGAUAAAGUAGGAUGUACUUGGUUUUGUUCAGAGAGGGGCUCAAAAUAGCUGCUUAUCGCAGAUUACUGUUGUAUAUUUCAACUUCAUUGAAACAAUAAAUUGAAAUCCACCUCUGGUUUAUUUUGUAUGCCAUUUUUGCAUAUAAGAUGGUAUUAACACUACCAAUACUUAUACAUAAAUUGAAUGUGACUUUAAUAAAAAAGAAUAUGAUGAUCAGCG